UACGGAGGGGGCUAGCGUUGUUCGGAAUUACUGGGCGUAAAGGGCGCGUAGGCGGGCGCUCAAGUCAGGGGUGAAAGGCCUGGGCUCAACCUGGGAAUUGCCUUUGAAACUGAUUGUCUAGAGUCCGGAAGAGGAUGGCGGAAUUCCCAGUGUAGAGGUGAAAUUCGUCGAUAUUGGGAAGAACACCAGUGGCGAAGGCGGCCAUCUGGUCCGGUACUGACGCUGAGGCGCGAAAGCGUGGGGAGCAAACAGG
RNAcentral lists this ribosomal RNA (253 nucleotides) under uncultured bacterium. RNAcentral's name for it is "partial 16S ribosomal RNA". It matches the Rfam family "Bacterial small subunit ribosomal RNA", at positions 524 to 776 of the family's 1533-position model. The record is from RNAcentral.